This is a long non-coding RNA of Selaginella moellendorffii, 659 nucleotides long. RefSeq lists it as uncharacterized. NCBI's taxonomy places the organism in Eukaryota, Viridiplantae, Streptophyta, Lycopodiopsida, Selaginellales, Selaginellaceae. The transcript is spliced from 3 exons. The record is from RefSeq and is a predicted model, not a curated record.
UUUUGGGAUCGCUGUUUAGCUAUGGUGAGCAGCACCCUUGCUCCGGCAUUAACUUUGACAAUGCCAUUGAUAGUUUGGCUGAAAUUCGUGUUUCUCCUACCAUCCAAGGUCAGCUAAGAAAAUUACUUGUGAUCAUGUCGUCCUUUGCACAGUUCCAGAAUGUUGCAAAUGUCAAGGUCUCCUUCAAAAAUCUCGAUGCCUCUGCCCAUGGUCACGAUUCUGAUUGGAUUGGGGUCUUCUCUCCAGCCAGUUUCAGGUAAUUUAAAACAGAUCUCUUCAGAUGACUGUUGCCUGGACGAGUGGAUAUGGAACGCACGAAGCCAAGCCUUUUGUUCUUUGGGGAUUACUUGAAUCGGACGAAACUUGGGCCUCUCCAGGAGUUACACAAACUUAUAGUCGUGGAGACAUGUGUGGACUAUAGGGUGGCGAGAUCCCUUUGUUUGAGGCAGAGAUUUAGCUACGUCCAUACCCGCCAGAAGAGUCCUUACAAAGAAUAGUAGUUUUCGGAGAUCUUGAAAAGAAAGAGCGAGAUGGAUCGAAUCAAUACAAUAGCUACAGCCACGGUGCUCUACAAACAUUUUCUCGACCAAAAACGAUAAAUACCCAUGGGAGAUUCCUAACUUACCAGUAUUUAGAUGGAUUAUUCAGUGGUAUCUUGA